CCUACGGGAGGCAGCAGUGGGGAAUAUUGCACAAUGGGGGAAACCCUGAUGCAGCGACGCCGCGUGAGUGAAGAAGUAAUUCGUUAUGUAAAGCUCUAUCAGCCGGGAAGAAAAUGACGGUACCUGAGUCAGAAGCCCCGGCUAACUACGUGCCAGCAGCCGCGGUAAUACGUAGGGGGCAAGCGUUAUCCGGAUUUACUGGGUGUAAAGGGAGCGUAGACGGCAGUGCAAGUCUGGAGUGAAAGGCGGGGGCUCAACCCCCGGACUGCUCUGGAAACUGUACGGCUGGAGUGCAGGAGAGGUAAGUGGAAUUCCUAGUGUAGCGGUGAAAUGCGUAGAUAUUAGGAGGAACACCAGUGGCGAAGGCGGCUUACUGGACUGUAACUGACGUUGAGGCUCGAAAGCGUGGGGAGCAAACAGGAUUAGAUACCCCAGUAGUC
This 440-nucleotide ribosomal RNA is filed under the name uncultured bacterium. RNAcentral's name for it is "partial 16S ribosomal RNA". It matches the Rfam family "Bacterial small subunit ribosomal RNA", at positions 338 to 795 of the family's 1533-position model. The record is from RNAcentral.